CUGAAGGAUCUGCCAGAGAAGGAAGGUUGCAGGUCCAGAAACACGGCUUGAUCUUCAUGAAUGAGAGGUUCCUAAACAGCAGGCUCAGCCCCAUUCCUCAUCCCCGCUGAGCAACGACGGCAGCCCACGCAGUGCUAGGAUUCAUGGGAUGAGCCUACGAUUGCAGGAAGUUGAGAUGCUUUCUGGCUGACUCCAUGUGGCCUCGGUGCCUUGGGGUACAGUAUCCAGCAAAUCUGCACUUGGAGUGAGGUAUCUCAGACCCAAGGGGCCUUAGACAUCCCACAACCCCUUUUUCCUCCUUACCUGUGGAACCACUGAGGCCACACAGGCCAAAACCGAGCUGCUGUAGCUCACUGGGGACAAAGACAGUGGAUGGCAUGGACAGGAACCCAUUACACAGCCCAGACUGACUCCAAAUUCACAAUCAUCAGGUUUCAGUUUCCCAAGGGGUAGGAUUAAAGGUGUGCAUCAACAAACUGGUUAUUUUUCUUUUGAUUGUUGAAUAAUUCAAGAUGCCUGAGUUACAAAGGUCAAGUUUCCACCCUGUUCAGGCAGUUUUCCUGACUAACACCCUUCAUAACUACAGCACAAAACUCCAACCCAGCAUCAGUGAGCACCAUCAGCUGCAGGAGAAAGACAAGUGGAUGGAGGGGCAAACUGAUGGUGCCUAGGUCACCAUACAACUGUGCCACCUAGCCUUCUGGUACUUCACCCACCUUCCCCACAUGCCUUCACCAGUAUCUGCAAUGGUCUUGUUUCAAUGCAUUUCUUUAUUGCUUCCCUUCCUAAGUACAAUGUGGUUUCCCUGGACCAUCUUAUUCACCAUUAAAUCACCUAUAGUCAGUCUUUGACACAUAGUAGGUGUUCAAUAAAUACUGUGUAUCAAUAAAAACUAAGUCAGUAUUCAGAGGCCAAACUAUGUGUUGCUCUCCUGGAAAGUGCCAUGGUUUCUCCAAUGUGCUGUCCCAGCUCCUUCUUCUGGCACUUCUCUGUUCAUAGUUCCCAUCAGCAGGCCACUCUGGAUUCAAACCCCACAGGAAUGUUUCUUCUGCUGGUAUUCCUGCCAGCUCUACACACUCCAGCCAAGACACCCAGUCACACGGCCUCUCCUGCCACCUCCCUGGGCAGCCUCUAGCAGGCUUCAUUCAGCCUUAUGUCCUCCUCAUAGGCAUAUGCCCCUGUCUCUUGUUUCUCAGGACCUGCACCGUGUCCAGAAUAGCCACUGGCCCCGUUGGCUAAGCACCUGAAAUGUGGACAAUCUGAAUGGAUGUACUGUGGGUACAGAGGACAGAUCAGAGUUUAAAGGAUUAGUCUGAAAAAAAAAAUGUAACAAAUGGACUAUUUUCUGA
This is a non-coding RNA of Peromyscus maniculatus bairdii (prairie deer mouse), 1349 nucleotides long. The record is from RefSeq and is a predicted model, not a curated record. Lineage: Eukaryota; Metazoa; Chordata; Mammalia; Rodentia; Cricetidae.